RNAcentral lists this ribosomal RNA (1098 nucleotides) under Bacillus sp. MF3. RNAcentral describes it as "bacterial SSU rRNA". It matches the Rfam family "Bacterial small subunit ribosomal RNA", at positions 61 to 1134 of the family's 1533-position model. The record is from RNAcentral. Lineage: Bacteria; Bacillati; Bacillota; Bacilli; Caryophanales; Bacillaceae.
GUCGAGCGGACAGAAGGGAGCUUGCUCCCGGAUGUUAGCGGCGGACGGGUGAGUAACACGUGGGUAACCUGCCUGUAAGACUGGGAUAACUCCGGGAAACCGGAGCUAAUACCGGAUAGUUCCUUGAACCGCAUGGUUCAAGGAUGAAAGACGGUUUCGGCUGUCACUUACAGAUGGACCCGCGGCGCAUUAGCUAGUUGGUGGGGUAAUGGCUCACCAAGGCGACGAUGCGUAGCCGACCUGAGAGGGUGAUCGGCCACACUGGGACUGAGACACGGCCCAGACUCCUACGGGAGGCAGCAGUAGGGAAUCUUCCGCAAUGGACGAAAGUCUGACGGAGCAACGCCGCGUGAGUGAUGAAGGUUUUCGGAUCGUAAAGCUCUGUUGUUAGGGAAGAACAAGUGCGAGAGUAACUGCUCGCACCUUGACGGUACCUAACCAGAAAGCCACGGCUAACUACGUGCCAGCAGCCGCGGUAAUACGUAGGUGGCAAGCGUUGUCCGGAAUUAUUGGGCGUAAAGGGCUCGCAGGCGGUUUCUUAAGUCUGAUGUGAAAGCCCCCGGCUCAACCGGGGAGGGUCAUUGGAAACUGGGAAACUUGAGUGCAGAAGAGGAGAGUGGAAUUCCACGUGUAGCGGUGAAAUGCGUAGAGAUGUGGAGGAACACCAGUGGCGAAGGCGACUCUCUGGUCUGUAACUGACGCUGAGGAGCGAAAGCGUGGGGAGCGAACAGGAUUAGAUACCCUGGUAGUCCACGCCGUAAACGAUGAGUGCUAAGUGUUAGGGGGUUUCCGCCCCUUAGUGCUGCAGCUAACGCAUUAAGCACUCCGCCUGGGGAGUACGGUCGCAAGACUGAAACUCAAAGGAAUUGACGGGGGCCCGCACAAGCGGUGGAGCAUGUGGUUUAAUUCGAAGCAACGCGAAGAACCUUACCAGGUCUUGACAUCCUCUGACAACCCUAGAGAUAGGGCUUUCCCUUCGGGGACAGAGUGACAGGGUGGUGCAUGGUUGUCGUCAGCUCGGUGUCGUGAAAAUGUUGGGUUUAAGUCCCGGCAACCGAGCGCAACCCUUUGAUCUUAAGUUGCCAGCAUUCAAGUUGG